Molecule: long non-coding RNA, 225 nt
Filed under: Nicotiana benthamiana
Lineage: Eukaryota; Viridiplantae; Streptophyta; Magnoliopsida; Solanales; Solanaceae
Description: long non-coding RNA (NBEN_LNC032098)
Source: RNAcentral
AGAUGAACCUCACAAAGUAUGAGAUCAUGUGAGUGGGCGGUGCAGUGGACCAUACCGAUUUGGAGCUCUAGCCACUAUACAUCUUGGUGUGCCUUGUGUGCGUCUAACAAGGACCAAACAAUGUGAACAGUGAUGAUUGAAAGAGUUGAAAAGAGAUUAGCAGGAUGGCGGAGGAACUAUUCGUCAAAAGGGAGGAAGGGAGUACAGAGUGCUUUGUCGACUAUU